Molecule: ribosomal RNA, 343 nt
Filed under: Aspergillus sp. BAB-3094
Lineage: Eukaryota; Fungi; Ascomycota; Eurotiomycetes; Eurotiales; Aspergillaceae
Description: eukaryotic LSU rRNA
Rfam family: 5.8S ribosomal RNA (bases 1-99)
Source: RNAcentral
CGAUACUUGGUGUGAAUUGCAGAAUUCAGGGAAUCAUCGAGUCUUUGAACUCACAUUGGGCCGCCUGGUAUUCCGGGGGGCAUGCCUGUCCGAGCGUCAUUGCUGCCCUCAAGCCCGGCUUGUGUGUUGGGACGGCUGUCCCCCUCUCCGGGGGGACGGGCCUUUCGAAAGGGUCAGCGGCGGCAGAGGGUCACGAUCCUCGAGCGUAUGGGGCUUUGUUACAUGCUCUGUAAUGAUUGUCCGGCACCUGUGCACGACGUCUUUGCAACCCUUCUGUUCCACGGGUGACCUCAAAUAAUGUAUGAAUACCUGAAGAACUUAAUUCUAUCAAGUAUCGGAUGAA